UCCCUGGAGGACUAGUGGUUAGGCCACGGCGCUCUCACCGCCGGGGCCAGGUUCGAAUCCCGGCCAGGUAU
Molecule: non-coding RNA, 71 nt
Organism: Pangasius djambal
Lineage: Eukaryota; Metazoa; Chordata; Actinopteri; Siluriformes; Pangasiidae
Source: the annotation of a GenBank genome assembly